Molecule: ribosomal RNA, 258 nt
Filed under: uncultured bacterium
Lineage: Bacteria
Description: partial 16S ribosomal RNA
Rfam family: Bacterial small subunit ribosomal RNA
Source: RNAcentral
CAGGUACAGCGGGAAGCCACCUGGCGACAGGGCGCGGAACCCGAAAACCUGUCUCAGUUCGGAUUGGAGUCUGCAACCCGACUCCAUGAAGCUGGAUUCGCUAGUAAUCGCGCAUCAGCCACGGCGCGGUGAAUACGUUCCCGGGCCUUGUACACACCGCCCGUCAAGCCAUGGAAGCCGGGAGUGCCUGAAGUGCGUGACCGCAAGGAGCGUCCUAAGGCAAUACCGGUGACUGGGGCUAAGUCGUAACAAGGUAUC